Long non-coding RNA from Tachysurus fulvidraco (yellow catfish), 796 nucleotides. RefSeq lists it as uncharacterized. Lineage: Eukaryota; Metazoa; Chordata; Actinopteri; Siluriformes; Bagridae. The transcript is spliced from 3 exons. The record is from RefSeq and is a predicted model, not a curated record.
UAUUGCUUCGCCCAGCUGAUCCUCGGAUCACAGCGUACAAGCUCACAACAGCUGAUCGUGACGCAAUGACGCACACGGCCCCGCCCAUCACCACGCCCACAACAGCUUCCUGAGCCAAUCACGAUGUUACACAAGAAACUGCUGAUCUCCUGGGAUUUCCCCAAACAGAAUGUGGUGAAAAGCAACAAACACCUAAUCAGUUAUUUCCCUGAAGGAGAUGCUCCCGACCAAUAAAAGGUCACCAUUCAAUGUAACCACGGCAAAUCAUAUGGCGUCAGAUACGGAAGAUGUGCUGAUAUAACUUUCAACCGAUCGAACCCUGAGGACGGCAUUUGACGGAAAGACGCUGGAUGAGUUCUGGGUUUCUUCCGCGCUGGAAUAUCCACAGUUGUCGAAAGCCGUGUUGGAUGUACCCAUGCAAUUUGUCUCAACGUAUUUAUGCGAAAAGACAUUCUCUGCGCUGAUUUACAUUAAGAAUAAACACAAGUCAUGGCUUAACGUGGAAGAUGAUCUGUGGGGGGCGAUCUCCAAAACUGAACUUAGAGUGGACCUGCUUUGCUCCGAGCACAGCGCCCAUCCAUCACAUUAGGCGUUUUUUUCUGAAUACAUUUAAAAUUACAAUACAAUUAUUCAUAACACAACUUUUAAUUGUUCCAAGGCACCAGCCAACGUUAUUGUACUCGUGUUACAGGCAGCUUGUUCGUAGCUAUUCUGUCUGUAAGCAUUUCACAGUUAUGGGAUGUAUUUGUUUUUGUCCAUAAUUUGUUAAUAAAAUAGCCUGGCUUAGAGAUUGUGU